CCUACGGGAGGCAGCAGUGAGGAAUAUUGGUCAAUGGACGAGAGUCUGAACCAGCCAAGUAGCGUGAAGGAUGACUGCCCUAUGGGUUGUAAACUUCUUUUAUAUGGGAAUAAAAUGUUCCACGUGUGGGAUUUUGUAUGUACUAUAUGAAUAAGGAUCGGCUAACUCCGUGCCAGCAGCCGCGGUAAUACGGGGGAUCCGAGUGUUAUCCGGAUUUAUUGGGUUUAAAGGGAGCGUAGGUGGAUUGUUAAGUCAGUUGUGAAAGUUUGCGGCUCAAACGUAAAAUUGCAGUUGAAACUGGAAGUCGUGUGUACAGUAGAUGUGGGCGGAAUUCGUGGUGUAGCGGUGAAAUGCUUAGAUAUCACGAAGAACUCCGAUUGCGAGGGCAGCUCACUGGACUGCAAGUGACACUGAGGCUCGAAAGUGGGGGUAUCAAACAGGAUGAGAUACCCUUGUUC
Molecule: ribosomal RNA, 458 nt
Filed under: uncultured bacterium
Lineage: Bacteria
Description: partial 16S ribosomal RNA
Rfam family: Bacterial small subunit ribosomal RNA
Source: RNAcentral